RNAcentral lists this ribosomal RNA (556 nucleotides) under uncultured bacterium. Its description in RNAcentral is "bacterial SSU rRNA". It matches the Rfam family "Bacterial small subunit ribosomal RNA", at positions 97 to 653 of the family's 1533-position model. The record is from RNAcentral.
GGCGGACGGGUGAGUAAUGCUUGGGAACUUGCCUUUGCGAGGGGGAUAACAGUUGGAAACGACUGCUAAUACCGCAUAAUGUCUACGGACCGAAGGGGGCUUUUAGCUCUCGCGUGAAGAGAGGCCCAAGUGAGAUUAGCUAGUUGGUGAGGUAAAGGCUCACCAAGGCGACGAUCUCUAGCUGUUCUGAGAGGAAGAUCAGCCACACUGGGACUGAGACACGGCCCAGACUCCUACGGGAGGCAGCAGUGGGGAAUAUUGCACAAUGGGGGAAACCCUGAUGCAGCCAUGCCGCGUGUGUGAAGAAGGCCUUCGGGUUGUAAAGCACUUUCAGUUGUGAGGAAAGGUUGGUAGUUAAUACCUGCCAGCUGUGACGUUAACAACAGAAGAAGCACCGGCUAACUCCGUGCCAGCAGCCGCGGUAAUACGGAGGGUGCGAGCGUUAAUCGGAAUUUACUGGGCGUAAAGCGCACGCAGGCGGUUUGUUAAGCUAGAUGUGAAAGCCCCGGGCUCAACCUGGGAUGGUCAUUUAGAACUGGCAGACUAGAGUCUUGGA